Molecule: long non-coding RNA, 6664 nt
Filed under: Gallus gallus (chicken)
Lineage: Eukaryota; Metazoa; Chordata; Aves; Galliformes; Phasianidae
Source: RNAcentral
CACCAAAGAAGGCAAUUCUGCAACUUCAAAUGAGCCUAAUUGGUUGUGCGCUCAGGCGUUCACUCAAGCUGCUUCAGUCCAUCAGAGAGAGAUUUCCAACUAAUUGAACAGCUCAGAAGAAAAAGAACCACGGAAAUCACAAUGCACUGGGCCGAUUGAGAGGGUUUUUUCUUGAUAAAAACCUUCAAAAUAAGAUUUUUUUUUUUUUUUUUUUUGAGAAAUCAGCCACCUGUCAAUCUAGAAAGUGGUUUCAUCGGUACAGAAAUUCCUAAUGAGGUAUGGCCUAAAAGUCAGGGUCUAUUAAUAGCAAGCUCUGCAGGUAACUGUACAUUUGUGUUGAAAAUGUUUAUUUUGGAUUGGCAAUGUAUUUUUUUCAGACUGGAAUGCUUAUCUUAAGGCAUAUAAUAAUUAUGUGGUAAUGGACAGACAGAGGAAUGCCAUUCAAGCCAAUCCUAGCGCCAAAGUGUGUAAAGUUAUUCAUGCAUACAAGUGUUGAGACUGGGCUGGGUAAGAUUCUGCUCACAAGGAGGUCAUCUUGGUCGAAGAUUUCCUGAAGAAGAAAGACAUGUGGAAUGAAUUCGACAUUUUAGGAAAAGAAAAGUUAUCAUUCUUGGCCAUGAGCCAGCAGUGUGCCCUGGUGACCAAGAAGGCCAGUGAUAUCCUGGGAUGCAUUAAAAAGAGCGUGGCCAACAGGUCAAGGGAGGUUAUCCUCCCCCUCUACUCUGCCCUGGGGAGGCCCCCUUUAGACUACUGUGUCUAGUUCUGGACUCCUCAGUUCAAAAAGGACAGAGGUCUUCUAGAAGGAGUUCAGCAGGGGGCUGCAAAGAUAAUAAAGGGAAUGGAGCAUCUCUUGUACGAGGAAGACUGAGUAACCUGGAUCUGUUCAGCCUGGAGAAAAGAAGACUGAGAGGGGAUCUGAUAAAUAUUUGUAAUUAUCUAAAGGGAGGCGGGAGACAAAUGGAUGAGUCCAGGCUCUUCUCGGUGGUAUGUAGCAAUAGGACAAGGAGUAAUGGCCUCAAACAUGAACCUAGGAUGUUCUGUACUAACAUGCAGAAGAAUUUCUUCAUGGUGAAGGUGACAGAGCACUGGAACAGGUUGCCCAGGGAGGUUAUGGAUUCUCCUUCUAUGGAAAUAUUCAAGACCCAGCUGGACACCUACCUGUGAGAUGUAUUAUAGGGUACCUGUUUUAGCAGUGGAGUUAAACUUGAUGAUGUCUUGACAUUCCUUCCAACCCCAUCGAUUCUGUGAUCCUCUCUUCCAUAGCCAUACCUUUUUAUAUUUUCACCCCAGAUAAUCAUUGAGAAGAUUGUACUGAUCAGUAAGUUAAUUUUAGUCUAACCAUAACACUGAGCUGAACUUCUACUUACUUUGGUACUUCAAGUAUUUCUUAGCUUACUUAUCUCACUCAGUAUCCAGCAAGAUAUAUUUUUCUUGUCAUUAUUGUAAUACUUGCUAGUUUAUUGAAAAAAGCCUUAUAACGACCAUCAUCUCUUAGAUUGGCAGAGAAAGGAUACUUUUUAAAGACACUGAAUGAGUUAAGGGGAACAGGAAUACUUCUGAUAAUGUUGAGAAUUGAAUUUGGAAAUCUAAAGUGAAUCUCAGACAUGGAAAGUUAUACAAGAUGGACUGGAUUCUGAGGAUUUUGAGAAGCUUAUUCUUAUGCAAAAAUAAUUAUUAUUAUUUUACAAAAAGAAUUUCAGAAAAGGGUUGUUUAGAGUUUUACUGCUUCUGCAGGUAUGAAAUAAAUCAGAUCUUCAAAACUUCACCUGUCACAGAAGACAUCAAUAAAUUUGAUAGAAAUGCUUCAAUUCCUGUCAAAAUGCAUGGGGAAAAGUGCACUAGCAAACAGUGGUUGGAAACCGUCAAAAGCCUCCUGAGCUAUAACAGUGAUGACUGUCAGGGACAUUUAAUGUUUGAACACUGGUGGCAUUCUCAGACUAAGAGAUCCCUGAUGUAUCCCAGCAUGGCUGAUGUAGUAAUUAGUGAUUACCUUACCCACAUCAUACCUUUGGAACAGUGCUAGCCAUAUACUUUACAAUCUUGCCAAAAUAACCUCAAUAGCCAAUAAAUGCGUUGGAAAGGGCAAGAGUUGACAGAUAGAAGGUACAGGUACAUCAUAAAAUGAGUUCACUGUUAACCAGAAAGGAUAGCUGCUUUUUGAAGUUAAUUUAUUCCAUAAAUUAAUGUUACUCUUAUAAAAGAGGUGGGCAAAUAGCUAAUAUUUCGUAAGAGCAGCAGCACUUUAUGUUUCACAUGCAAAGUUUCUCACACAAGCCUGUCCCUCCUGUCCAGCUUUCCUCAUUAUUUCCCAAAAGGCAAUUGGUCUAGUAAAACAAGAAGAGCAGUAGUAUGAGUAUGAAGCCUUUUUCAUCUUUCCUGUGCUCUUUUUUUAAUGGUAUGAGAAGUUAUAUUUGAAUUUGACAAGAAAAAGCAAUAAAGCAAACACUUGGAGCAGGCAGUUUUCUCUUUCCUGUCCUCCUAAAAAUCUUCAAAAACAAUAACAAAAUUAAAUACAGAACAUUAAAUCUAUAUAGCAAAAGUCAAGAAAUCCACAAAGUUUUCAACAACUACUGAUCAGAUUCUCUAAAUAUCGCAUUCAUAAUCCUGUUUCCUUGUUAAAUGUGAAACUUAAUAGGUUAUUGAUUACGCUAUAAAAUCCAUACCAUAAAAUAUAUAAGAUAUGAGCAGUGAUAAUGUUGAGGUAGCUCUUGCAGCAUUAAUUUUUAUGUUUCUUGACUGUGGAUUUUAACUACAAUCUUAAAUGUUAUAUUUUUAUACUGUCAGUUCAUAUAGCUAUUACUGAAAUAAAUUGCAGUUACCUUUAGCAUUUACCAACAGACAUAUUUUCCUCUAGAAAAGUAUGACAAUGGUAUUUUCAUUCAAAAUUUGUUGUGACAGUUAUGGCAAACCUGGAUAGUAACAGUCUUACUGGCAGGAUGCUUAUCUUUUUUACUAGUUCAGAAAGAUCUGAUUGAUGUGAGAGAUCAAGGUCUCUCUAAAGAUAAUUUAGCCAUUUCCAUACAGUUUACGCUUGUGUUAGCUGUAUCCUGCAAGGGAACUCCCAGGAGGAUUUUCUCUGACCUUCCCUCUAAAAGGUAACACAUAAGAGAUUCCUAAAGGAACCAUCAUCUAACAAGACUAAUGAUAGCUUCCAUGCCUAUUAUCAUUCAGUGAGAGUGAAAGAGACUUUAAAAAUGCAGUACCACAUUCCUCCCUUGAUGUUUCUCAUGAUCUAUUAAGGUAUUAGAUGCCAGAUAAAUUAAUCAUUAAAAACUUACAGUUAAGACUUUACAAAUAAUAACCAGGUGUACUUUGAUUAUUUUUUAUCUCACUAUAUAUAUUUAUAUAUUUCUGUCACUAAGCACAAACCACAAAAACGAAUUUGUUUAUUAAUGGCUAAUGGCUAGAUAAAGUUCAUGAAAAGGACUGAAUUCUCCAGCCUUUCAAUGUGUUGGAAAGUCAGGAGGAUUACAGAAAAACAUCCCUUAUUUAUUUUUGAAACAGCUAAUGAUUUGUCACUCAGCUAUCCUUUCAAGCUAUUUUGGUGAGUGUGAGCUACUGUGAUGACUUUUAAUUAGUUCAUAUAGCCUAGUAUUUGAUUUAUUUAUUCCCAAUCAGUAAUGCUUUGCCUAAAAGUUCCUCCAGUAUAGAGUUUCUACAGAGAGUUUGCUUGGAAACUGAUUUUUAUUACAGAAGCAAUUCUUCUGUACCAUCUUUUUUCAGCACGAAAGUCAUGAUCUAUAUUUCUGUUUAACCCUUUGUCAUCAAAAUAAGAUUAUUGGCAUAUUUUCCAAUGUAAUCUAGUUUACAUUUUUAGUUAAGAAAAAUAAAAAGCUUUCAGUGUAGUGAUGACUUGUUGAAUUUCACUGCUGUCAUAAAGAUAUAUUUAUUUUCUUCAGGGUUUGUGUUGAGUUCGUCCUAUGGGGACUGUGUGCCUUCAUUUCUCCGGUGAACAUGUUGCUUUCUACAGAUUUUAAGUUUUAAAACAAAAAAUGAUUGAUCUGUAUGGCUGUAGCUUAAGUUUCCUGACGUGAGUAAGUUCAGUUGUAUUUCUAGAUCACUAGAUAGGCAUGCAUUUGCACUGAGUAUGAUGUUUCUUCACUGGAGUACAACAAAUGCAUAUGAAUUCAACAAAGUAAUUAUAAAUGUGAUUUUAAAUGAUGAAUCAGUAUUCCAGAAAUAUUGUUUCUUGAUUACUUAAUCAGCAAAUUUAUCAUUUCUUAAUGCCUUUUCAGGUUUGAUAUUUUUAGGGUCUUGAUUUUUCUACACAGAUAUUUGAAAAACUGCACCAGAAUCUACUCUAUUCAUACAGUUUAGGGCACAAGAUUUCUCUGAUAUUUGUCAGUUUGAUAUACUAAUAUAGAGGUAUAUAUAAGUAAAUACAUAUAUAGUAAUAUACAGGUGUACUUCUAUAUAUGAAAGAUAUCUGGAGGUCUUUUUGAUCUCCUGGGUAUUCCUAGUGGAUAUGUGUCUACCACAGAUAAACCAUUUUGUGGCCAUCCCUGUAAUAAAAUAGGAGCACUGAAGACAAUAAAAGCACGUCUUGUCUUGGAGGAGGUUAUUCAAAGUAGAGAUUAAGCAGAAUGGUGAGCCAACGUGAAAGGUAUAUUUUAUUAUAAAGCUUCUUCCCCCUGAUCCAAUGAUUUGAAUAAAACGGGAACAAGAAGAUUUAGCAUGCAUGGAAUCCUGGAGAGAAUUUGGGAAGGGAAGAUACACUUUCUUCUUUAUUCAUAUUCAGACAGGAUGACAGAUGCUUUGCUAUGCCAAGUCUGUUCCAGCCAAUAGAAUUUGUAUGCUGUUGCAUGCUUUUGUUUCAAACUGUUGUUGGGUAUGCCAGAGCUCUCCUGUACCUUUCUCAAAACUGCAGAAUGGUUCUUAAACAGCAGUGGCAAAGCUCCUGCUGAAUACACAUCUAUACUCAGUAUAUCUACAUCUGUGGUGUGACAUGUUAUCUAAUAAUAGUUUGUGGGAAGAGUGCUAAGAAGGAGGCAGUGUAGCAAAACUUAAACCUAGAAGAAAAUUGAGAGAUCAAAUGAUGAUUAGUGAAUCAAUCAAUAAUUAAUUUGAAUAAUUAUAUCUCUUUUCCCAUGUUAUCUGAACAAAGUCAUGACUUUCACAUAUGUGUUCUUUGACAAGUCUGGCCUUAUUUCUAGAGAUAAUCCAUACUCUGCCAAACAACUAGUAGAAGUAUCUUAAUGUAUUUUUGAUAUUGAAGAUUGAAAAAAAUUACUGAUAAGAAGUUAAAGUGAUGGGCAAACCUAUCAUGUUUGGAAUCUCGUCUGUGUUCAUUAAUGUAACUUACCACUUUGUGUUUCCAUGGUCUCUGAAAUAUUUAGCUAUUUGUUUCUAAGGCCUAUAGUUUGCAUCCUGCAAUGGGGUUCCAAUGCCUUUCUCAGUAUCACAGUGAUAAGUUCCCACCACUACAGUUAUUUUCCAUUAAUAUUAUACAAAUAUAGGAGAAACUAAUAGAAAAAUUCAUAUAUUCUUCUGUUAGUUAGGAAACACCUUUGUAAUGUAUGCAAGUUGAUGCAGUAAUGUUCAGCUGCAAACUAUGUGAGCUAUCACACAAUGUACCUGAAGGUUAACCACAGUCAAUUCAUAUAAAUUGGUUCUCACACUAGGAGUAGGCUUUCUAAGAAUUUUCUAAGAGUUCUAAGAAUCUACCAGAGUAGCCAUUUAAUAUUUGAAAAUAUAUUUGCACAAUAUAUUAUGAGCCAUUUAUCCACCUCUAUUACUGACACUUGAACAAAGAAAAAGAGAUGAGAAUUCUCUUCAUAGGAGAACUGUUCCCAAAACCCUUACUUAGUGGAAGAGAUAAGACUCCAGCAAUUGUUAUAGACAAUUCCCUUCAUUCUUCUAAUACAUUCAUUCAGAAUCAAGAUGAAGAACCCUCUUUGCCACAGAAAAUGUGUUUUAUGCAAGGCAAAUUGUUAAUAAUGACAUUUACACACACAUCAGCAGAAUUGAAGUAUCUACAUGACAUACACUCCCUAAGGUUCAGAUACCUAUUCUACUAUUGGUCUGUAAUAGAACCAAAGUAUAAUGUAUUUUUUAUAUUGUUAAAUGAAAUAAUACCAAAAACUAGGAAUUUCACUGGUAUUUAAUCAAAAAAGUCCUCAUCUGGCAAGCCUGAGAGACAAGAAAAACAACGCAGUGAAAGAUGUAAUUGCACCUAGAAUUUUCAGAGACCUCAUAAGAAAAUAAUCUCACAAAACAAUUUAACAUAAGCCAGAAGGGAAACCAUAAAUAAUGCCAUCCUCAGCUUCCUCUUUUGGAUUAUUCCAAAGCUGGAAAACAGCUUUGUCCCAUCAUGUCUACAUAUUUGCCUGAUUAGGAGUCUGGUCUAUGGGCACCAAUGAAGACCAUCACGGACAGGUCAGAUGUUAGGCAGGCUGAAUUGCUCUUUGAAGAUUCUUUUUUUUUUCUCUCCAAUGGAAGGCUCUAAAUAUAGAAGUCUUAAUUUGAUCAGCAUUUUUCCAAGAAGGAAAAAUUCUAUUCAGUAGAAAAGAAUACCCGUAAGUAUUGACAUGCUAAUCUCCUUCAAGCUGAAUUAUACUGUUGUGGUCAGCACUACAAUGGCUUGAUGUGUAUUCUGCAAGAUCUCCUGCUCUGGAGUAGUGCAACAUGAUGCAAAACCUGAACCCAUAUCCAACAUGGAGCCAGG